Molecule: ribosomal RNA, 253 nt
Filed under: uncultured bacterium
Lineage: Bacteria
Description: partial 16S ribosomal RNA
Rfam family: Bacterial small subunit ribosomal RNA
Source: RNAcentral
UACAGAGGUCCCAAGCGUUGUUCGGAUUCACUGGGCGUAAAGGGCGCGUAGGCGGUGCGGUAAGUCUGUAGUGAAAUCUCUGGGCUCAACUCAGAGUCUGCUGCAGAAACUGCCGUGCUUGAGUGUGGGAGAGGUGAGUGGAAUUCCCGGUGUAGCGGUGAAAUGCGUAGAUAUCGGAAGGAACACCAGUGGCGAAAGCGGCUUCCUGGUCCAGCACCGACGUUCAGGCACGAAAGCGUGGGGAGCAAACAGG